This 506-nucleotide ribosomal RNA is filed under the name uncultured bacterium. Its description in RNAcentral is "SSU rRNA". It matches the Rfam family "Bacterial small subunit ribosomal RNA", at positions 26 to 518 of the family's 1533-position model. The record is from RNAcentral.
AGGACGAACGCUGGCGGCGUGCUUAACACAUGCAAGUGGUGCGACGAACCAGGGCUUGCCCUGGGGCCAAGCCGCGAACGGGUGAGUAACACGUGAGUAACCUGCCCCGAUGACCGGGACAACCCGAGGAAACUCGGGCUAAUACCGGAUGAUGUGCACGGCUUUAAGGCUGUGUACUAAAGGAAGCUUCGGCCUCCGCAUUGGGAGGGGCUCGCGGCCCAUUAGCUUGUUGGUGGGGUAACGGCCCACCAAGGCAACGAUGGGUAGCUGGUCUGAGAGGACGAUCAGCCACACUGGGACUGAGACACGGCCCAGACUCCUACGGGAGGCAGCAGUGGGGAAUCUUGCGCAAUGCGCGAAAGCGUGACGCAGCAACGCCGCGUGGGGGAAGAAGGCUUUCGGGUUGUAAACCCCUUUCAGUUGGGACGAAGCUUCGGCGGUGAACAGCCGACCGGAGUGACGGUACCUUCACAAGAAGCACCGGCUAACUACGUGCCAGCAGCCGC